RNAcentral lists this ribosomal RNA (272 nucleotides) under uncultured Anaerococcus sp. RNAcentral's name for it is "partial 16S ribosomal RNA". It matches the Rfam family "Bacterial small subunit ribosomal RNA", at positions 524 to 796 of the family's 1533-position model. Lineage: Bacteria; Bacillati; Bacillota; Tissierellia; Tissierellales; Peptoniphilaceae. The record is from RNAcentral.
UACGUAAGGACCGAGCGUUGUCCGGAAUCAUUGGGCGUAAAGGGUACGUAGGCAGCUAGAAAAGUUAGAAGUCAAAGGCUAUAGCUCAACUAUAGUAAGCUUCUAAAACUAUUUAGCUUGAGAAAUGGAAGGGAAAGUGGAAUUCCUAGUGUAGCGGUGGAAUGCGCAGAUAUUAGGAAGAAUACCGGUGGCGAAGGCGACUUUCUGGCCAUUAUCUGACGCUGAGGUACGAAAGCGUGGGUAGCAAACAGGAUUAGAAACCCUAGUAGUCC